This 87-nucleotide transfer RNA is filed under the name bacterium (Candidatus Gribaldobacteria) CG_4_10_14_0_8_um_filter_33_9. RNAcentral's name for it is "tRNA-Leu". It matches the Rfam family "tRNA". From Rfam's summary of the family: Transfer RNA (tRNA) molecules are approximately 80 nucleotides in length. Their secondary structure includes four short double-helical elements and three loops (D, anti-codon, and T loops). The record is from RNAcentral. Lineage: Bacteria; Candidatus Gribaldobacteria.
GGGCGAGUGAUGAAAUCGGCAGACAUCUAUGGUUGAGGGCCAUAGGGGAAUUUUCCCGUGAGGGUUCAAGUCCCUCCUCGCCCACCC